UACGUAGGUGGCAAGCGUUGUCCGGAAUUAUUGGGCGUAAAGCGCGCGCAGGCGGUCCCUUAAGUCUGAUGUGAAAGCCCACGGCUUAACCGUGGAGGGUCAUUGGAAACUGGGGGACUUGAGUGCAGAAGAGGAAAGUGGAAUUCCAUGUGUAGCGGUGAAAUGCGUAGAGAUGUGGAGGAACACCAGUGGCGAAGGCGACUUUCUGGUCUGUAACUGACGCUGAGGCGCGAAAGCGUGGGGAGCAAACAGG
This 253-nucleotide ribosomal RNA is filed under the name uncultured bacterium. RNAcentral's name for it is "partial 16S ribosomal RNA". It matches the Rfam family "Bacterial small subunit ribosomal RNA", at positions 524 to 776 of the family's 1533-position model. The record is from RNAcentral.